GAUGAACGCUGGCGGCGUGCCUAAUACAUGCAAGUAGAACGCUGAAGGAGGAGCUUGCUCUUCUGGAUGAGUUGCGAACGGGUGAGUAACGCGUAGGUAACCUGCCUGGUAGCGGGGGAUAACUAUUGGAAACGAUAGCUAAUACCGCAUGACAACAGUUAUUGCAUGAUAACUGUUUAAAAGGGGCAACUGCUCCACUACCAGAUGGACCUGCGUUGUAUUAGCUAGUUGGUGAGGUAACGGCUCACCAAGGCGACGAUACAUAGCCGACCUGAGAGGGUGAUCGGCCACACUGGGACUGAGACACGGCCCAGACUCCUACGGGAGGCAGCAGUAGGGAAUCUUCGGCAAUGGACGGAAGUCUGACCGAGCAACGCCGCGUGAGUGAAGAAGGUUUUCGGAUCGUAAAGCUCUGUUGUAAGAGAAGAACGAGUGUAAGAGUGGAAAGUUCACGCUGUGACGGUAUCUUACCAGAAAGGGACGGCUAACUACGUG
Molecule: ribosomal RNA, 495 nt
Filed under: uncultured bacterium
Lineage: Bacteria
Description: partial 16S ribosomal RNA
Rfam family: Bacterial small subunit ribosomal RNA
Source: RNAcentral